Molecule: ribosomal RNA, 393 nt
Filed under: uncultured bacterium
Lineage: Bacteria
Description: bacterial SSU rRNA
Rfam family: Bacterial small subunit ribosomal RNA
Source: RNAcentral
UGGGGGAUAACGCAGCGAAAGCUGUGCUAAUACCGCAUACGAUCUAUGGAUGAAAGCGGGGGAUCGCAAGACCUCGCGCGAUUGGAGCGGCCGAUGUCAGAUUAGCUAGUUGGUGGGGUAAAGGCCCACCAAGGCGACGAUCUGUAGCUGGUCUGAGAGGACGACCAGCCACACUGGGACUGAGACACGGCCCAGACUCCUACGGGAGGCAGCAGUGGGGAAUUUUGGACAAUGGGCGCAAGCCUGAUCCAGCAAUGCCGCGUGCAGGAAGAAGGCCUUCGGGUUGUAAACUGCUUUUGUACGGAACGAAAAGGUCUGGGUUAAUAUCCUGGGCUCAUGACGGUACCGUAAGAAUAAGCACCGGCUAACUACGUGCCAGCAGCCGCGGUAAUA